RNAcentral lists this ribosomal RNA (497 nucleotides) under uncultured bacterium. RNAcentral describes it as "partial 16S ribosomal RNA". It matches the Rfam family "Bacterial small subunit ribosomal RNA", at positions 28 to 507 of the family's 1533-position model. The record is from RNAcentral.
GAUGAACGCUGGCGGCGUGCCUAAUACAUGCAAGUCGAGCGAACAGACGAGGAGCUUGCUCCUCUGACGUUAGCGGCGGACGGGUGAGUAACACGUGGAUAACCUACCUAUAAGACUGGGAUAACUUCGGGAAACCGGAGCUAAUACCGGAUAAUAUAUUGAACCGCAUGGUUCAAUAGUGAAAGACGGUUUUGCUGUCACUUAUAGAUGGAUCCGCGCCGCAUUAGCUAGUUGGUAAGGUAACGGCUUACCAAGGGAACGAUGCGUAGCCGACCUGAGAGGGUGAUCGCCCACACUGGAACUUGACCACGCUCCAGACUCCUACGGGAGGCAGCAGUAGGGAACCUUACGCAAUGGGCGAAAGCCUGACGGAGCAACGCCGCGUGAGUGAUGAAGGUCUUCCGAUCGUAAAACUCUGUUAUUAGGGAAGAACAAAUGUGUAAGUAACUAUGCACGUCUUGACGGUACCUAAUCAGAAAGCCACGGCUAACUACGUG